AUCCCAGAUGAGGCUCUUUGUAUUUAUCUGAUUCAUGGGAGGCAAAUAUUGACUGUGGGAAAUUUCGCUGAUAGCACCUCUCAAUCUUUUUGGAGGUGUUUACUAGUUGAUUUCCUAACAUAU
Non-coding RNA from Vigna radiata var. radiata (mung bean), 123 nucleotides. Lineage: Eukaryota; Viridiplantae; Streptophyta; Magnoliopsida; Fabales; Fabaceae. The record is from Rfam.